GGGAAAUAACAGGGUGGUUAACACGCCCAAUCCUUAGGUGCCAGUAGGUCUGGGGGCUGACAGGCUCUUGAUCAUCAAGUAGUUAAUUCCCUCCAUUUGGAGGUGGUUUUUAGCAUUUGAAAAACUCGGGAAAUAUGUGUGAGCUACUAUCAUCUGCGUGCAGGAGGGAGGAGCUACAGCAGUGAUAUAGGGGAGGAGUCUGGCCUGGGAAGACCUAGUAGGGUCCUGCUUGGCUGCAAUUCUCCAGGAAGUCAGAGAGCAGGUGGUCUGCGUUGCCAAAACUCAGAGGGUGCGGACCCCAAAGGGCCUGAUGCAGGAUCUUUUCCAGGGCCACUGUGGCUUCUUUAGUGUCCAAGGCUUUAUUCCAUUCAUCUUGGGGUGGAUUCUGUAGGUCUCAGUAAAGGGAGUAACCUCUGCACUUGUCUGACAUCUUCAAGAGAUGCUGGCCGCCCUCAAGCUUCUCCUCGGCCAGCUCGCAGAAGAGGUGGCCCAAGCCUUCGGGAACCCCACUGUGGUGGUUGAAAGGAGGUCCGGAGCGAAUUUUUGCUGCUUAGGAGUGGGACUCGAAGCUAACUGCUAGUGGCUUGAUGACAAACGCACAGCUGAGGCGGCCCUGAGCCCUUGGAAUUCACUGUUCUCAGCGUUACCAUGGGUCUUGGCUAUCCCAGCUUCGGCGAGCAGUUCCCUGACUGCUUUUACAAGUAGAAAUUAUCUUCAGCUUUAAAACAAGCAGUUUGUGGACCCAGGCUCCUUUGGGGGAAAAAUGACAGGAAGAAGUCACUUAUGUUUCUCAAGAAAGAUGCCUGUCAACUCAAUGACCUCAGGAGCCAGACUUUGUCAACCAAGAGAAGAUCUCAAAGGCACAGAAACUCUAAUUCCACUUCUCUACUCCAGAAUACUGGAGAUGAAAGGAGACCUAGAAUAGAGAAUGGGAGGAGGAGAAAAAAAAAAAAGUAACAGACCUGACGUCCUCCCUACUCCAAGUUCCCCAGCCAGGGUCAAGCCGAAUGAGUUGGAAAGAAUGGUGUGAGAUUGAUGAUGUAAACUGAGAUGAAUGUAUAGGACUAAACUGGAGUGUUAAUAUGUGAAAGUGAUCGGAAAGCUGUGGGAUCUGCCCUGCGUAUCAUUAAGGGUUUGAAAAUUGUUAGUUAGAAAGUUAGUGAAGAAAUAAAGCAAUUACAUACUUGUAUCACAAUGAAUUAGACUUGUCAAUAAACCAGUUAUGUGCAGAAGGA
This is a non-coding RNA of Sus scrofa (pig), 1235 nucleotides long. NCBI's taxonomy places the organism in Eukaryota, Metazoa, Chordata, Mammalia, Artiodactyla, Suidae. The record is from RefSeq and is a predicted model, not a curated record.